This 478-nucleotide ribosomal RNA is filed under the name uncultured bacterium. RNAcentral describes it as "partial 16S ribosomal RNA". It matches the Rfam family "Bacterial small subunit ribosomal RNA", at positions 28 to 523 of the family's 1533-position model. The record is from RNAcentral.
GACGAACGCUGGCGGCGUGCUUAACACAUGCAAGUCGAACGGUAAGGCCCUUCGGGGUACACGAGUGGCGAACGGGUGAGUAACACGUGGGUGAUCUGCCCUGCACUUCGGGAUAAGCCUGGGAAACUGGGUCUAAUACCGGAUAGGACUCCGGACUGCAUGGUCUGGGGUGGAAAGCUUUUGCGGUGUGGGAUGGGACCGCGGCCUAUCAGCUUGUUGGUGGGGUGAUGGCCUACCAAGGCGACGAGGGGUAGCCGGCCUGGGAGGGGGACCGGCCACACUGGGGCGAAGAUACGGCCCAGACUCCUACGGGAGGCAGCAGUGGGGAAUAUUGCACAAUGAGCGCAAGCCUGAUGCAGCGACGCCGCGUGAGGGAUGACGGCCUUCGGGUUGUAAACCUCUUUCAGCACAGACGAAGCGCAAGUGACGGUAUGUGCAGAAGAAGGACCGGCCAACUACGUGCCAGCCGCCGCAGUAA